CGCACAUUGCGCCCUUUGGCAUUCCGAAGGGCAUGCCCGUUCGAGCGUCAUUAAAUCCAAUCAAGCCUGGCUUGGUAUUGGGCGUCGGGGUCCCCCCGCGCCUCAAUUUCACCGGCUGGCCGUCGCCCGUCGUAGCGUUGUGAUAUACCUCUCGCUAUCGAUGGGAACGGAUCAUGCCGUUAGAAUCUCGUGAAUUUCAAUCGAAAUUUGAUUAAGGUUGACCUCGGAUCGGGUAGGAAUACCCGCUGAACUUAA
Molecule: unclassified non-coding RNA, 255 nt
Filed under: Capnodiales sp.
Lineage: Eukaryota; Fungi; Ascomycota; Dothideomycetes; Capnodiales
Description: partial contains 5.8S ribosomal RNA, internal transcribed spacer 2, and large subunit ribosomal RNA
Source: RNAcentral